RNAcentral lists this ribosomal RNA (466 nucleotides) under uncultured bacterium. Its description in RNAcentral is "partial 16S ribosomal RNA". It matches the Rfam family "Bacterial small subunit ribosomal RNA", at positions 28 to 507 of the family's 1533-position model. The record is from RNAcentral.
GACGAACGCUGGCGGCGUGCUUAACACAUGCCAGUCGAACGGUAAGGCUCCAGCUUGCUGGGGUACACGAGUGGCGAACGGGUGAGUAACACGUGGGUGACCUGCCCUGCACUUCGGGAUAAGCCUGGGAAACUGGGUCUAAUACCGGAUAGGACCAUGGUGUGGAUACUGUGGUGGACAGUUUUUUCGGUGUGGGAUGGGCCCGCGGCCUAUCAGCUUGUUGGUGGGGUAAUGGCCUACCAAGGCAGCGACGGGUAGCCGGACUGAGAGGGUGGACGGCGAAAUGGGGACUGAGAGACGGCGCAGAAGGCUACGGGAGGCAGCAGUGGGGAAUAUUGCACAAUGGGCGGAAGACUGAUGCAGCGACGCGGCGUGGGGGAUGACGGGCUUCGGGUUGUAAACACCUUUAAACAUAGACGAAGGGUUUCUGACGGUAGAUGGAGAAGAAGCACCGGCUAACUACGUG